RNAcentral lists this ribosomal RNA (763 nucleotides) under uncultured soil bacterium. Its description in RNAcentral is "bacterial SSU rRNA". It matches the Rfam family "Bacterial small subunit ribosomal RNA", at positions 29 to 769 of the family's 1533-position model. The record is from RNAcentral.
GCGAACGUUAGCGGCAGGCCUAACACAUGCAAGUCGAGCGAGAAAGGGGCUUCGGCCCUGAGUAAAGCGGCGGACGGGUGCGUAACACGUGGGUAAUGUGCCCUUCAGCGGGGGACAACAGUCCGAAAGGAUUGCUAAUACCGCAUACGUCGGUUGGUGCUUCGGCAUCGAUCGGGAAAGGUGGCCUCUUCAUGAAAGCUACCACUGAAGGAGCAGCCCGCGGCCCAUCAGCUAGUUGGCGGGGUAAUGGCCCACCAAGGCUAAGACGGGUAGCUGGUCUGAGAGGAUGAUCAGCCACACUGGAACUGAGACACGGUCCAGACUCCUACGGGAGGCAACAGUGGGGAAUAUUGGGCAAUGGGCGCAAGCCUGACCCAGCCAUGCCGCGUGAGUGAUGAAGGUUUUCGGAUCGUAAAGCUCUGUGGGGAGGGACGAAACAGCACGGUGCUAAUAUCACCGGGCCUUGACGGUACCUCCUUAGCAAGCACCGGCUACUCCGUGCCAGCAGCCGCGGUAAUACGGAGGGUGCAAACGUUGCUCGGAAUUAUUGGGCGUAAAGCGCACGUAGGCGGUUUGAUAAGUCGGAUGUGAAAGCCCUCGGCUCAACCGAGGAAGUGCAUUCGAAACUGCCAGACUUGAGUAUGGAAGAGGGUCGCGGAAUUCCCGGUGUAGAGGUGAAAUUCGUAGAUAUCGGGAGGAACACCAGUGGCGAAGGCGGCGACCUGGGCCAAUACUGACGCUGAGGUGCGAAAGCGUGGGGAGC